GUCUGUGAGGACGCGGGGGCGGAGCCGCUGGAGCCGGAGCCGCUGGAGCCUGAGUCGCUGAAGCCGGUUUGGGGUCACUCAUUCUGGGGAAGGCAGAUGCCAUGUCAUUGAAGACAUCCAAGCAGCUUCACAGAGAGGUCCACAAGGUGAGGAACUGAGGCCUCCUACAGCUUGCCAGCUAUGGACCAGUGACAACUUCUACCUGAAUGACAGAUACAUUUGAGAACUGCUGCUAACUUCUUAAAUCCCUUCCUACUCUCAGAUAAGGUGUCAGAAAAGGAUGCUCAUAAUGAAGGAUGUGAGCAAGAAUACAGAACUGUGAACUGAAAUAUUUGGGAACAGAUAUUGGAUAAGGAAGCUGUUUGGCAUCCCAAAACAGAAGUUUCUCCCAAACAGGAUAUUGGAAAAGGAAGGACUUCCCGGAAGGUGAAGUCAAGAGUCAUGAAGAACAAUAGACUAUGAAGCUACCUCCAGGAAACAAAAUUGAAGAGCCUGACAUGGUGAACAGCAAAUGGAAAGUGUUGCAUCAAUAUCUGAUGAAUGUAUGAGAAAGUCUUCACCUGAUACCACCUAGAUCCUACCAGCCCAGGAUGUCUGGAAGCAAGCGUAAAAGUGGCAGUUAUGGAGCUGGUACUGCUAAGAAGUGCCAGGAAUUGGAGGCCCAGAGAAAGGACAAAGAGAGACAAGAGGAAGAAGAAGUAACUGAAGAACUGAAGAAAUUCAUGAUGCAGGAAGUGGCAAGGGUAUUUUCUUUAUUUGAGGAGGCACUAUUAGUUUUUGAGGCACAGGACCGUGUAGAAUGGUACACGAAGGAAGGUUGCAGAAGCCGCUGAGAAUGCAAUCCAGUGCUACCGUGUCAUCUAUGAUGAGAAAAAAAGAGCUAUUACUCAGACGUCACUGGAUCGCUUUUUUUAAGAGGGUAGAUAGAAUUGAAUCCAGCAAGAAACCAGAACCUGUGCCAUCAACGUCAGGCAUGAAUGAAAUUGCAGCUGGCCCUCCAUCUCCUACUGCUGACCAUCCUUCAG
Molecule: long non-coding RNA, 1025 nt
Organism: Mesoplodon densirostris (Blainville's beaked whale)
Lineage: Eukaryota; Metazoa; Chordata; Mammalia; Artiodactyla; Ziphiidae
Exons: 7
Source: RefSeq, a predicted model, not a curated record